GACGAACGCUGGCGGCGUGCUUAACACAUGCAAGUCGAACGGAAAGGCCCUGCUUUUGUGGGGUGCUCGAGUGGCGAACGGGUGAGUAACACGUGAGUAACAUGCCCUUGACUUUGGGAUAACUUCAGGAAACUGGGGCUAAUACCGGAUAGGAGCUCCUGCUGCAUGGUGGGGGUUGGAAAGUUUCGGCGGUUGGGGAUGGACUCGCGGCUUAUCAGCUUGUUGGUGGGGUAGUGGCUUACCAAGGCUUUGACGGGUAGCCGGCCUGAGAGGGUGACCGGCCACAUUGGGACUGAGAUACGGCCCAGACUCCUACGGGAGGCAGCAGUGGGGAAUAUUGCACAAUGGGCGGAAGCCUGAUGCAGCGACGCCGCGUGCGGGAUGACGGCCUUCGGGUUGUAAACCGCUUUCGCCUGUGACGAAGCGUGAGUGACGGUAAUGGGUAAAGAAGCACCGGCUAACUACGUG
RNAcentral lists this ribosomal RNA (468 nucleotides) under uncultured bacterium. RNAcentral describes it as "partial 16S ribosomal RNA". It matches the Rfam family "Bacterial small subunit ribosomal RNA", at positions 28 to 507 of the family's 1533-position model. The record is from RNAcentral.